GGCCAGGUAGCUCAGUUGGUAGAGCAGGCGACUGAAAAUCGCCGUGUCGGGAGUUCAAAUCUCUCCCUGGCCA
This 73-nucleotide transfer RNA is filed under the name Spiribacter salinus M19-40. It matches the Rfam family "tRNA". From Rfam's summary of the family: Transfer RNA (tRNA) molecules are approximately 80 nucleotides in length. Their secondary structure includes four short double-helical elements and three loops (D, anti-codon, and T loops). The record is from Rfam by way of RNAcentral. Lineage: Bacteria; Pseudomonadati; Pseudomonadota; Gammaproteobacteria; Chromatiales; Ectothiorhodospiraceae.